GUCGGCAGCGUCAGAUGUGUAUAAGAGACAGUUAAAAAGCUCGUAGUUGGAUUUCUGGUUUAAUGCACCUGGCCCGCGGCCAAUAGGCUUGUGAGUGCCGGCGCGCGUUUACCAUCCUUCUAGAAAACGAUUCUGCCAUUCACUUGGUUGGCCAGAGGUGAAAUUCUUGGAUUCGGUCAAGACUAACUUAUGCGAAAGCAUUCACCAAGGAUGUCUUCUUCUGUCUCUUAUACACAUCUCCGAGCCCACGAGACGCUAACUGAUCUCGUAUGCCGUCUUCUGCUUGAAAAAAAAAAACAAC
This 301-nucleotide ribosomal RNA is filed under the name uncultured Allapsidae. RNAcentral's name for it is "partial 18S ribosomal RNA". The record is from RNAcentral. Lineage: Eukaryota; Cercozoa; Glissomonadida; Viridiraptoridae.